RNAcentral lists this ribosomal RNA (503 nucleotides) under Pseudoalteromonas prydzensis. RNAcentral describes it as "bacterial SSU rRNA". It matches the Rfam family "Bacterial small subunit ribosomal RNA", at positions 380 to 876 of the family's 1533-position model. The record is from RNAcentral. Lineage: Bacteria; Pseudomonadati; Pseudomonadota; Gammaproteobacteria; Alteromonadales; Pseudoalteromonadaceae.
AGCCUGAUGCAGCCAUGCCGCGUGUGUGAAGAAGGCCUUCGGGUUGUAAAGCACUUUCAGUAAGGAGGAAAGGUUAAGUGUUAAUAGCACUUAGCUGUGACGUUACUUACAGAAGAAGCACCGGCUAACUCCGUGCCAGCAGCCGCGGUAAUACGGAGGGUGCGAGCGUUAAUCGGAAUUACUGGGCGUAAAGCGUACGCAGGCGGUUUGUUAAGCGAGAUGUGAAAGCCCCGGGCUCAACCUGGGAACUGCAUUUCGAACUGGCAAACUAGAGUGUGAUAGAGGGUGGUAGAAUUUCAGGUGUAGCGGUGAAAUGCGUAGAGAUCUGAAGGAAUACCGAUGGCGAAGGCAGCCACCUGGGUCAACACUGACGCUCAUGUACGAAAGCGUGGGGAGCAAACAGGAUUAGAUACCCUGGUAGUCCACGCCGUAAACGAUGUCUACUAGAAGCUCGGGUCUUCGGACUUGUUUUUCAAAGCUAACGCAUUAAGUAGACCGCCUGG